RNAcentral lists this ribosomal RNA (440 nucleotides) under uncultured bacterium. RNAcentral's name for it is "partial 16S ribosomal RNA". It matches the Rfam family "Bacterial small subunit ribosomal RNA", at positions 338 to 795 of the family's 1533-position model. The record is from RNAcentral.
CCUACGGGUGGCAGCAGUGAGGGAUAUUGGUCAAUGGGCGGAACUCUGAACCAGCAACGCCGCGUGAGGGAAGACGGUUUUCUGAUUGUAAACCUCUGUCCUCUGUGAAGAUAAUGACGGUAGCAGAGUAGGAAUCUCCGGCUAACUACGUGCCAGCAGCCGCGGGAAUACGUAGGGAGCAAGCGUUGUCCGGAUUUACUGGGCGUAAGGGGUGCGUAGGCGGGUUUGCAAGUCAGAAGUGAAAUCUAUGGGCUUAACCCAUAAACUGCUUUUGAAACUGUAGGUCUUGAGAGAAGUAGCGGUAGGCGGAAUGCACGGUGUAGCGGUGAAAUGCGUAGAGAUCGGGAGGAACACCAGUGGCGAAGGCGGCCUACUGGGCUAUAACUGACGCUGAGGCACGAAAGCGUGGGUAGCAAACAGGAUUAGAUACCCGAGUAGUC